CCUACGGGGUGCUGCAGUGGGGAAUAUUGCACAAUGGGGGAAACCCUGAUGCAGCAACGCCGCGUGAAGGAAGACGGUUUUCGGAUUGUAAACUUCUGUUCUUAGUGAAGAAUAAUGACGGUAGCUAAUGAGCAAGCCCCGGCUAACUACGUGCCAGCAGCCGCGGUAAUACGUAGGUGGCAAGCGUUGUCCGGAUUUACUGGGUGUAAAGGGAGCGAAGGCGGGAAGCCAAGUCAGCUGUGAAAACUACGGGCUUAACGUGGAGACUGCAGUUGAAACUGGUUAUCUUGAGUGAAGUAGAGGCUGGCGGAAUUCCGAGUGUAGCGGUGAAAUGCGUAGAUAUUCGGAGGAACACCGGUGGCGAAGGCGGCCUACUGGGCGUUAACUGACGCUGAGGCUCGAAAGUGUGGGGAGCAAACAGGAUUAGAUACCCUAGUAGUC
This 441-nucleotide ribosomal RNA is filed under the name uncultured bacterium. RNAcentral describes it as "partial 16S ribosomal RNA". It matches the Rfam family "Bacterial small subunit ribosomal RNA", at positions 338 to 795 of the family's 1533-position model. The record is from RNAcentral.